ACGAACGCUGGCGGCGUGCUUAACCCCUGCAAGUCGAACGGAAAGGCCCCUUCGGGGGUACUCGAGUGGCGAACGGGUGAGUAACACGUGAGUAACCUGCCCUUGACUUCGGGAUAACUUCAGGAAACUGGGGCUAAUACCGGAUAGGAAUCCUUGCUGCAUGGUGGGGGUUGGAAAGCUUCGGCGGUUUUGGAUGGACUCGCGGCUUAUCAGCUUGUUGGUGGGGUAGUGGCUUACCAAGGCUUUGACGGGUAGCCGGCCUGAGAGGGCGACCGGCCACAUUGGGACUGAGAUACGGCCCAGACUCCUACGGGAGGCAGCAGUGGGGAAGAUUGCACAAUGGGCGGAAGCCUGAUGCAGCAACGCCGCGUGCGGGAUGACGGCCUUCGGGUUGUAAACCGCUUUCAGCAGGGGCGAAGCUUGUGGUGACGGUACCUGCAGAAGAAGCACCGGCUAACUACGUG
RNAcentral lists this ribosomal RNA (464 nucleotides) under uncultured bacterium. Its description in RNAcentral is "partial 16S ribosomal RNA". It matches the Rfam family "Bacterial small subunit ribosomal RNA", at positions 29 to 507 of the family's 1533-position model. The record is from RNAcentral.